RNAcentral lists this long non-coding RNA (359 nucleotides) under Lathyrus oleraceus (garden pea). RNAcentral's name for it is "Pisum sativum (pea) long non-coding RNA (PSAT_LNC036958)". The record is from RNAcentral. Lineage: Eukaryota; Viridiplantae; Streptophyta; Magnoliopsida; Fabales; Fabaceae.
AACUCUACAAAAGUUUUCAAUCAACAAAAAAGGGAAUUGCAGAGCUUGAAUAAUAAAAUAUUUAAAAGUCUGUGUGUUAUUUUGACAAGAACUCUACAAAAGUUUUCAAUCAACAAAAAAGGGAAUUGCAGAGCUUGAAUAGGAGUGAGUCUUAUUUUUAAAAAAGAUAUAUGUUUAGUUAAUUUAUGAUUUACAUUCAUAAAACUUAUAGUGGUCUUCUAAUCAUAUUUUAGAAUAAUUUACUUUUACAAAGACACCUGUUUUUUUUUGUGAGGGCGAGAUAUGAUAAUACAAUAUAAUUCUAUUCGACUUUUGAUAUACAAAUUAUUUAAUAAUUUUUAUUAAUUUAUUGAUAAGCG